CGCACGAUUUGAAUGGCUCUUGGAAGUCUGUGAAUGGCCGUGUAGAGGAAAUGGAUGUCUCUCUAAUAAUGUCUUGCAGUUCUUCUUACUGGAAGUGGUGGAGCCACCUGGCAAGUUACUUUUAGACUUGUCAUUUUAAAAACAUCCUCCCAGUUCUCUUCCAAGUGCAGGAGAAGUCAGGUCCCUAGAAUGCCUCGUCAAAGCCGCAGACAAAGCAAACCCACUGCCACACCUCGGCCGGCUGCCCCACCUCAGCCAAAGUCACAGGUCAGGCCAAAACCAAACUCCCCAGUCAAUGGAAAUACCU
Molecule: long non-coding RNA, 307 nt
Organism: Gekko japonicus
Lineage: Eukaryota; Metazoa; Chordata; Lepidosauria; Squamata; Gekkonidae
Exons: 3
Source: RefSeq, a predicted model, not a curated record